RNAcentral lists this unclassified non-coding RNA (245 nucleotides) under uncultured fungus. RNAcentral describes it as "sequence contains ITS1". The record is from RNAcentral. Lineage: Eukaryota; Fungi.
GUAUUAAAUUUCAGCUUGUUAAAAGCUUACUGUAUAGAUCAUUCUGAUAUUGUUAUUGGUGUUUGAUAAAAACGUAGGCAAAUCAGGAAUUACACAGAUUGCUCUGCAACACUGUUUGUCUACUUGGGUGUGCACAGUGGGGUAAGAGAAGGAGAUUUUGCAGAGUGCACAUGCAAACCGGUGAAGGAGUGCCAGCACAUCUUUAAAAAUCAAUAAUGAUCCUUCCGCAGGUUCACCUACGGAAA